CAUACAGAUACAUACUAUGCCACAAAUCAUUUCCACCAUGCAGGGUAUAGGUUUUGAUUUUCUAAUGUGAAAGCUAGCGUGGUUUGCCUAUAGGUACAGAUGAACAAAUUAAAAUUGCAUCUUUUUCUUUUUCAUUGGUUUUAAACUUUUGUAAGCAACUUUAGCGUGUUUUUUUUUUUUUUUUCUUGUGCAUUCUUCUAGCCAGUGUUUGGUCUGCUGAUGCUUUCUAUGCCAUUCUAAGUAAAAUUUAUUUUGCCGCCUCCACGAUAACCUAGUGGUUUGCUGGCAGUUUGUAACUGCAGAGCACCUUUAGUUGUGGCUUGAAUUUUUAGUUAAGCUUUCAUGGUGUUUAGUUCUCUAGUUUUGAGGGGGAAAGAACUAUACUAUAAGUGAGAGGUGUUUUGUUUUCCAUUUUUGUUUCUUUCACGCUAGGCUUUUACUGGCAGAAUGUCCAUUGCAGGCAGUGGACACGACACCACCAGCAUUGAGCUAAAAUCUCUAUUACACCUUUCCUGGAGGGGCCGCUCAUCAUUACCUGAGUAAUGUGUACAGAGAGGUGAUAGCCAUUAUUUAUGUGGAUGAGGAAACAAGAGUAAACAGGACGGUAGUUUUAGAAAUGUAUUCAGUCCAUUGAAGGAAAUUCUUUUGUAAUCACUCUGAAGAAUGUGGAUUGUGAAGAACCCUGGCCAUGAGAAGAGGUGAUGAUACUGACAGACAAGGAAAGCUGAAAGCCAAACAGGAAAUAGAAAUAGCAGCAAAAGGCCUGGAGAGCAUCCAUGAAGACGGAGUGGUAGGCAGCACCUUCCAUCGGAGAAGCUCGACCAUCACAGUUUAAACCUGAGAAUCCUCCCACACUUGGGGUGGUGGUGAGCCCCCAGUUGGGAAGAGAGGCACAAGAUUUGCUCCCCUUCGCCACUGGAGCCAGCACUAGCACGUCUGCUUAGAGGAGUUAGGCCACUUCUCCCAAAGCACUUCCCUGGGCACUAACAGCAGAGCCAGGGCUCAAACCGAGAUCUCACCCCAGAGCUGUCCUCCUCACCAGUGCACCAGAGCACAUUGUGAUAUAUCACCCAGAGUGUAAAAAGUGUCCACCUGGAAUGGGGGUUUGGGACAAAGGAGAGGAAAGGAUGGGUGAGAGAGAUUUUUGCAGAAAGCACUCCAAAAGACAAAUGUUAUUCAUUUUUCUCAGCCCAGCAGUCUGAAAAAGCAUAGUUCAAAGAUCAAUGACCAAUUAGUAUCCAGCUGCUGAAAGAAAACAGUGCUUUGACCUUAGCAGAAAGUUACAUAAACUCUCCUCAGGGCAAGAGACUUCUUAGGGAGAAUUAAGAGGUAGCAUAAACACAGCUCAUUUGGGAAGAACCGGAAGAACUUUCCUGUUUAAUCCCUAGAAUUCCACUGAAAGCUGCGAUGGGUGGGGCAGCCCAGAGGGGGGACUCAGCAAUAGCUCUGGAGGUUCUGGGAUUAGGCGAUCAGGUUUCUAGAGGUAUCUCAAGCCAAAGACAGUG
This 1505-nucleotide long non-coding RNA is filed under the name Delphinapterus leucas (beluga whale). RNAcentral's name for it is "lncRNA (ENSDLEG00000015046.1)". Lineage: Eukaryota; Metazoa; Chordata; Mammalia; Artiodactyla; Monodontidae. The record is from RNAcentral.